GAAUGCUAAUACCGCAUACGUCCUACGGGAGGAAGCAGGGGAUCUUCGGACCUUGCGCUAAUAGAUGAGCCUAAGUCGGAUUAGCUAGUUGGUGGGGUAAAGGCCUACCAAGGCGACGAUCUGUAGCAGGUCUGAGAGGAUGAUCCGCCACACUGGGACUGAGACACGGCCCAGACUCCUACGGGAGGCAGCAGUGGGGAAUAUUGGGCAAUGGGGGGAACCCUGAUCCAGCCAUGCCGCGUGUGUGAAGAAGGCCUUAUGGUUGUAAAGCACUUUAAGCGAGGAGGAGGCUACUGAGACUAAUACUCUUGGAUAGUGGACGUUACUCGCAGAAUAAGCACCGGCUAACUCUGUGCCAGCAGCCGCGGUAAUACAGAGGGUGCGAGCGUUAAUCGGAUUUACUGGGCGUAAAGCGUGCGUAGGCGGCUUUUUAAGUCGGAUGUGAAAUCCCCGAGCUUAACUUGGGAAUUGCAUUCGAUACUGGGAAGCUAGAGUAUGGGAGAGGAUGGUAGAAUUCCAGGUGUAGCGGUGAAAUGCGUAGAGAUCUGGAG
This 551-nucleotide ribosomal RNA is filed under the name uncultured Acinetobacter sp. RNAcentral describes it as "bacterial SSU rRNA". It matches the Rfam family "Bacterial small subunit ribosomal RNA", at positions 158 to 703 of the family's 1533-position model. Lineage: Bacteria; Pseudomonadati; Pseudomonadota; Gammaproteobacteria; Moraxellales; Moraxellaceae. The record is from RNAcentral.